AGGCAGGCAGAUUACCUGAAAUCAGGAGUUAAGAGCAGCCUGCCCAAAACGGUGAAACCUCAUCUCUACUCAAAAUAUAAAAUUAGCCAGACAUGAUGACGGGCACCUUCCAGCUACUCGAGAGGCUGAGACAGGGGAAUUGCUUGAACCAAGGAGGUGGAGACUGGAGUAAACUGAGAUCA
Sapajus apella (tufted capuchin) is the source of this 182-nucleotide long non-coding RNA. RefSeq lists it as uncharacterized. The transcript has 3 exons. The record is from RefSeq and is a predicted model, not a curated record. Lineage: Eukaryota; Metazoa; Chordata; Mammalia; Primates; Cebidae.